This 305-nucleotide ribosomal RNA is filed under the name uncultured bacterium. Its description in RNAcentral is "bacterial SSU rRNA". It matches the Rfam family "Bacterial small subunit ribosomal RNA", at positions 337 to 657 of the family's 1533-position model. The record is from RNAcentral.
UCCUACGGGGGGCAGCAGUGGGGAAUAUUGCACAAUGGGGGGAACCCUGAUGCAGCAAUGCCGCGUGAAGGAUGAAGGUUUUCGGAUUGUAAACUUCUUUUGUACGGGACGAAGAAAGUGACGGUACCGUAAGAAUAAGCCACGGCUAACUACGUGCCAGCAGCCGCGGUAAUACGUAGGUGGCAAGCGUUAUCCGGAUUUAUUGGGUUUAAAGGGUGCGUAGGCGGAAUGCCAAGUCAGCGGUAAAAUCGCGGGGCUCAACCUCGCUCCGCCGUUGAAACUGGCGUUCUUGAGUGGGCGAGAAG